CCUACGGGAGGCUGCAGUAGGGAAUAUUGCUCAAUGGGGGAAACCCUGAAGCAGCAACGCCGCGUGGAGGAUGAAGGUUUUCGGAUUGUAAACUCCUUUUGUUAGAGAAGAUAAUGACGGUAUCUAACGAAUAAGCACCGGCUAACUCCGUGCCAGCAGCCGCGGUAAUAUGGAGGGUGCAGGCGUUAUUCGGAAUCACUGGGCGUAAAGAGCGCGUAGGCGGGAUAGCAAGUCAGAUGUGAAAUGCUAUGGCUUAACCAUAGAACUGCAUUUGAAACUGUUAUUCUUGAGUAUGGGAGAGGUAGGUGGAAUUCUUGGUGUAGCGGUGAAAUGCGUAGAGAUCGAGCGGAAUACUCAUUGCGAAGGCGGCCUGCUGGAACAUAACUGACGCUGAUGCGCGAAAGCGUGGGGAGCGAACAGGAUUAGAUACCCUGGUAGUC
Molecule: ribosomal RNA, 440 nt
Filed under: uncultured bacterium
Lineage: Bacteria
Description: partial 16S ribosomal RNA
Rfam family: Bacterial small subunit ribosomal RNA
Source: RNAcentral